Molecule: long non-coding RNA, 757 nt
Organism: Carya illinoinensis
Lineage: Eukaryota; Viridiplantae; Streptophyta; Magnoliopsida; Fagales; Juglandaceae
Exons: 2
Source: RefSeq, a predicted model, not a curated record
UUUACUGACCUCUUCCGGCUUUUUUUCCGUCGAGACUUUUUUUCUUCUAUAUAUUUAUUGCGUUUUUAUUUUAUUUUAUUUUUUAUAGGCUUAAUUGAUCUUUAUAAAUUUCUAUAUGUUUGUACCAAGGACAAUCGUUUUGCUUGUCUAAUGUUAUGUGGAAAGAUGACACUUCUUAUUGCCACGAAUUCAAUUUUGCUUAGUUUACUAAUCACAUUUUUUCAAUUGCCAGAGUUAGGAAUCCAGAGUGGAGGUCGCCGCUAGCGGCUCUAAUAUCUAAUCUCCAUCUUCCAAUGCGCAGUUUGGAGGUUAAAAAUAGAGAAUUGUUGCCAUAGAUGGUUAUUUGUGCCCGUUUGCAGGACAUCGGCAGAGGAUAUAAAAUCUCUUAGAUUGAUAACAGCAAUCAAAACUGCAUACCUACCUGGUAGAUUUGAUCUAGAAGCAUAUGAUGAUUCUGCAAUUUUUGUGCUGUUUUUGGCAGGUAAAUCAGAGAAGAAACCACAUUGCAGUUCUGUUUCAAGGUUCUGAGAGACUUGGCUUGGGAAUUUUGGGCUUGCUCGUUCGUUUCCUAGUUAAUUUUGGCUAUAGCUUGGCAACGUAUUCAAAGUGAAAGCCAAGAAGUUUUGUCUUAUAAGUUGGAGUCCUUCCCAUUCAGUGCAGUUGUAUUCAAUUUGCAAAACAUUCUAAAUUUAUAACAAUUUACGCUGUCAAAUUUCAACAGUUCUAAGUUAAUUAAUGCAUGAUCUUUUUCUCAUUA